RNAcentral lists this ribosomal RNA (468 nucleotides) under uncultured Pseudomonadota bacterium. RNAcentral's name for it is "bacterial SSU rRNA". It matches the Rfam family "Bacterial small subunit ribosomal RNA", at positions 355 to 816 of the family's 1533-position model. Lineage: Bacteria; Pseudomonadati; Pseudomonadota. The record is from RNAcentral.
UCGGGAAUCUUCCGCAAUGGGCGAAAGCCUGACGGAGCGACGCCGCGUGAGCGAUGAAGGCCUUCGGGUUGUAAAGCUCUGUGGGGAGGGAAGAAUAAGGGCAGGCGAAUACCCUGUUUGAUGACGGUACCUCCUUAGCAAGCACCGGCUAACUCUGUGCCAGCAGCCGCGGUAAGACAGAGGGUGCAAACGUUGUUCGGAUUUACUGGGCGUAAAGCGCGUGUAGGCGGCUUGGCAAGUCGGAUGUGAAAGCCCACGGCUCAACCGUGGAAGCGCAUCCGAAACUGCUUCGCUCGAGUCUCGGAGAGGAAGGUGGAAUGCUUGGUGUAGAGGUGAAAUUCGUAGAUAUCAAGCAGAACACCUGCGGCGAAGGCGGCCUUCUGGACGAUGACUGACGCUGAGACGCGAAAGCGUGGGGAGCAAACAGGAUUAGAUACCCUGGUAGUCCACGCCGUAAACGAUGAGUGC